RNAcentral lists this ribosomal RNA (254 nucleotides) under uncultured bacterium. RNAcentral describes it as "partial 16S ribosomal RNA". It matches the Rfam family "Bacterial small subunit ribosomal RNA", at positions 524 to 776 of the family's 1533-position model. The record is from RNAcentral.
GACAGAGGGUGCAAACGUUGUUCGGAAUUACUGGGCGUAAAGCGCGUGUAGGCGGCCAUCUAAGUCGGGCGUGAAAUCCCACGGCUCAACCGUGGAAGUGCACUCGAAACUGGAUGGCUAGAGUCCUGGAGAGGAUCGCGGAAUUCCCGGUGUAGAGGUGAAAUUCGUAGAUAUCGGGAGGAACACCAGUGGCGAAGGCGGCGAUCUGGGAAGAUACUGACGCUGAGGUGCGAAAGCGUGGGGGAGCAAACAGG